GCCGCGGUUGGGUUACAAAUGAGUCAUUUUUAUUUUUUUAGUGCAACAUCACAACAAACAAUUUUCACAUGAGGUAUUCAAAGGGAUUUUCUUUAGUUGUUGAUACAAAAUGUCCCACCAUGAUUGACGUUUAAAGUGUUGUGUAUCUUUUUUUUUUUUUUUAAAGCCUUUGGUUGGUUAGCCACAUUCAUUAGUAAGUCUAACACAUGGACAAGAAUGGCACGAUAAAGCAUGGUGGGUCGAGUCCAAGCUGAGGAAAGUCAGACUCGGUCAAAUAUAAUAUUUCCCUCAACUCUUCCCCGUUUAAAGCUUUUUGUAUGGAUUUAAUUAAUUCCUACUUACAACAGUGGGAUCAAACAGUAUUUCAACUACACUAAACAUUUGGAAAAAACAGGUGUUGAAGGGGUGGCUUACAAAUGUGGAAAAAUAGCUUCUUUCUCCUCCGACCUUUUUUAUUUUUGGAUGAGCGCUUGAUUUUUGGGCUUUUCUGUUACAGCAAGUCACAUGAUUCUAUUUUUUUGAAGAAGAAAAAAAAACAAGGAAUAGGCAACGUUUGAUUACAGCAAGAUCCUCCUUGCUUGGAUUGUCACCUCCCUUCUUUUUUUGGUCUUGAGAAUGAUUUUAUUUACAUACAGAACAUGUAUCGAUGGGACACGAGCAUACUGGACUCAAGCUUUGGCUGGACGGGGGCCUUGUUUGGCCCCUGUUACGGAUUGAUUCCAGCACAUUUGGUUUUUGGAGUAAAAGGCGUGAAGAAGAGACGGAUGGACAGACAAGAUAGAUAGAUAGAUAGAUAGAUAGUCAGACACCCUGACAGGAUGGAUUCUUUGGUUAAGGAAUAUCUUUGCCACACAACAUCUCACACAGUUGAGGUAGAUGGGUAAAGUCUUCAUGUACACAUGGGGGUACGUGGGGGGGGGGGGGGGGGCACCGGGGUUUACAGAGUCAUAAGACUUCCAUCUGGAGACACUGCCUCAUGUCAGUUUCUCAGUUCCAGCUCAGCGUAAUACUGUUUUUUCUGUGACAUAAAUAAUCAGCAGGCGGAACCUCACUGGUGCUUUUCUGAAUCCUCUGAGUGCUACGAUAGCUCUGAUAGGGAACCACUAAAACUACCCAUGAUGCACAACCCGUCAGCAGUUACCCAUCGAUCUUUGGUUAUUGUUUCUUUUUUUGGUUUCAAACAUUAUUAUUUUAUUUUUUUUGGUCUUUUUUUAACUGUGAAAGUAAACAUCAGCUUUCCGUUCGGCUAUUUCUUCAUUCACGCUGCUCUUCGAACGGCCUCGGCUGCCACAGACUCGUUUUUAAGAGUAAAAGUCACUAGAAAAGCCACUAGGGGGCGCCGCAGGCUCAAAUGGCAAUGCUGAUUCACCCCCCCCCCCUCCCCAUCUGUACAGAAAGGGAAGAGCUUCCCCUCUUGACACGGAGGAGCAGAAGGUGGCUCAAUACAAAAAGCUCUGUCUCCAUUUUAGGCUCCCAGUCAGAGAGACAAAGGGAAACCUGAAAGGUGUCACCUCUGCUUUGAUACGAUGACGGUGGUCUGCAGAGGUUUGGGGGACGAGCCUCAAAGCUCUGGUAUUGGUUUUCAUUUUUCCU
This is a long non-coding RNA of Gasterosteus aculeatus aculeatus (three-spined stickleback), 1593 nucleotides long. The record is from Ensembl. Lineage: Eukaryota; Metazoa; Chordata; Actinopteri; Perciformes; Gasterosteidae.